This 57-nucleotide transfer RNA is filed under the name Yoma sabina. Its description in RNAcentral is "tRNA-Glu". Lineage: Eukaryota; Metazoa; Arthropoda; Insecta; Lepidoptera; Nymphalidae. The record is from RNAcentral.
AUAUAUAUAUAUAUAUAUAUAUAUAGUUUAAAUAAAACAUUACAUUUUCAUUGUAAA